AACGAACGUUGGCGGCAUGGAUUAGGCAUGCAAGUCGCGGGAAUCCAGCAAUGGGGAACCGGCGUAAGGGGCAGUAAGGCAUGGGUAUCUACCCAGGGGUUCGGAAUAGCCACCAGAGAUGGUGGGUAAUACCGGAUGAUGUCGUGAGACCAAAGGUCCGCCGCCCUUGGAGGAGCCCAUGUGAUAUUAGCUAGUUGGUGAGGUAACGGCUCACCAAGGCGAAGAUGUCUAGCGGGUGUGAGAGCACGACCCGCGCCACUCGCACUGAGACACUGGCGAGACACCUACGGGUGGCUGCAGUCGAGGAUCUUCGGCAAUGGGGGCAACCCUGACCGAGCGAUGCCGCGUGCGCGAUGAAGGCCUCGGUUGUAAGCGCGAAGUAGGGAGGAAAGA
RNAcentral lists this ribosomal RNA (393 nucleotides) under uncultured bacterium. Its description in RNAcentral is "bacterial SSU rRNA". It matches the Rfam family "Bacterial small subunit ribosomal RNA", at positions 29 to 450 of the family's 1533-position model. The record is from RNAcentral.